Molecule: ribosomal RNA, 566 nt
Filed under: Escherichia coli
Lineage: Bacteria; Pseudomonadati; Pseudomonadota; Gammaproteobacteria; Enterobacterales; Enterobacteriaceae
Description: bacterial SSU rRNA
Rfam family: Bacterial small subunit ribosomal RNA
Source: RNAcentral
GAUAACUACUGGAAACGGUAGCUAAUACCGCAUAACGUCGCAAGACCAAAGAGGGGGACCUUAGGGCCUCUUGCCAUCGGAUGUGCCCAGAUGGGAUUAGCUAGUAGGUGGGGUAAAGGCUCACCUAGGCGACGAUCCCUAGCUGGUCUGAGAGGAUGACCAGCCACACUGGAACUGAGACACGGUCCAGACUCCUACGGGAGGCAGCAGUGGGGAAUAUUGCACAAUGGGCGCAAGCCUGAUGCAGCCAUGCCGCGUGUAUGAAGAAGGCCUUCGGGUUGUAAAGUACUUUCAGCGGGGAGGAAGGGAGUAAAGUUAAUACCUUUGCUCAUUGACGUUACCCGCAGAAGAAGCACCGGCUAACUCCGUGCCAGCAGCCGCGGUAAUACGGAGGGUGCAAGCGUUAAUCGGAAUUACUGGGCGUAAAGCGCACGCAGGCGGUUUGUUAAGUCAGAUGUGAAAUCCCCGGGCUCAACCUGGGAACUGCAUCUGAUACUGGCAAGCUUGAGUCUCGUAGAGGGGGGUAGAAUUCCAGGUGUAGCGGUGAAAUGCGUAGAGAUCUGGAG